Molecule: long non-coding RNA, 7561 nt
Filed under: Vigna radiata
Lineage: Eukaryota; Viridiplantae; Streptophyta; Magnoliopsida; Fabales; Fabaceae
Description: long non-coding RNA (VRAD_LNC010551)
Source: RNAcentral
CUCAAAGUACUUCACCAUAGCCAAGUUAAACAUAAGCACUUCAACUUUCAAAACCAUGGCUCAAACCCCAUUUCUUCUGUUGUCAAAUCUUCAAAGCUUUUGGCCUUCUUUGGUUGUGAUAAUCACCUGCUUCACCAUUAUGAUCAAAACCCUAAGCUCUAACUUCAUUCAGACUUAUUCUAAGAAACAAAAUCCAAACCUCCCUCCUGGACCCAAACCAUGGCCUAUAGUUGGCAACCUUCCUGAAAUGCUUGCAAGCAAACCUGCUUAUAAGUGGAUACAUAAUCUCAUGAAACAAAUGAACACUGAUAUUGCUUGUAUCCGCUUAGGAAAUGCCUAUGUCAUCCCAGUCACNUCUCCCACCAUUGCUACCGAGUUCUUGAGAAAACAAGAUGCUACUUUUGCAUCAAGAUCACUCANCAUGGCCAGUGAUCUCAUUACUAGUGGAUAUUCAACAACAAUUUUUGUGCCCUUUGGUNACCANUGGAAGAAAAUGAAGAAAAUCAUAACCCACGAUUUGCUUUCUCCACACAAGCACCUAUGGCUUCACGACAAAAGGAUGGAAGAGGCUGACAACCUUAUGUUCUACGUCUACAACAAGUGCAAAAUGGGGAAUGAUGGUGUUUCUGGCCUUGUCAAUGUUAGGAGUGCUGCAAGGCAUUAUUGUGGAAACCUUAUCAGAAAAAUUACUUUUAAUGUAAGGUAUUUUGGGGAUGGUAGAGAGGAUGGAGGGCCCGGCUUUGAAGAAGUAGAACAUGUUGAUUCCAUCUUUGAUUUGCUCAACUACGUUUAUUCCUUUUCUGUUUCUGAUUAUAUGCCAUGCUUGAGGGGACUUGAUUUGGAUGGCCAUAAGAAGAAAGUGAAGGAAGCUUUGAGGAACAUUAAGAAGUAUCAUGACCCCAUCGUUCACCAGAGAAUCAAACAAUGGAAUGAUGGUUUAAAGGUUGAUGCAGAGGAUUGGCUUGAUGUUCUCAUCUCACUCAAAGAUGCCAACAAUAAUCCAUCGUUAACAUUCGAAGAGAUCAGUGCACAAAUCAUAGUAAUAUAUACUUCACUUCUCUCUUAUUUUGUUUUUCCUUACUUUUAUACAAUAGUUUCUUAUUUGACUUCAUAUCAUGCAUUUUGAAAAGAUGAAAUUCGAUAUCAAUACUCAAACUCAAAAUCGAACUGUUUUUUGUAGGAAUUGAUGCUUGCAACAGUGGACAAUCCAUCCAAUGCAUUUGAAUGGGCACUUGCUGAGAUGAUUAACCAGCCUGAGUUACUGCGUCGAGCUGUUGAAGAAUUGGACAGUGUGGUUGGAAAAGACAGGCUGGUCCAAGAAUCAGACAUACCUAAGCUCAACUAUGUGAAGGCAUGUGCCAAAGAAGCUUUUCGUCUUCAUCCCAUUGCACCUUUCAUUCCUCCCCAUGUCUCUAUGAGUGACACUGUUGUGGGGAAUUACUUCAUCCCUAAGGGUAGCCACGUAGUGCUAAGCAGACAAGAACUUGGAAGAAAUCCAAAAGUGUGGGAUGAACCCUACAAGUUCAAACCUGAACGCCACCUGAAGAGUGAUGCAGAUGAUGUGGUUUUGACUGAACCAAAUCUGAAGUUCAUAUCAUUUAGCACAGGAAGACGAGGUUGUCCCGGUGUGAUGUUAGGAACGACAAUGACAGNGAUGCUUUUUGCUAGAUUGCUCCAUGGCUUCACUUGGACUGCACCACCCGAUGUUUCAACAAUCAAUCUUUCUGAGUCAGAGAAUGAUAUCCUUCUCGCUCAGCCACUCGUGGCAAUUGCUCAGCCAAGGUUGCCACAAAAGCUAUACCAACUGUAAAUUAAACCCAAAUUUAAUUUACCCAGGCGUUUAUACUUUAACAUUGGCAAUAAAUGUUGUUGUAAUACGAUAGGAAUUUGUUUGAUUACUUAUGAAAAUGUCUGUCAUAUAGUGUAAAAGAAGGACUCAACUUGAUACUGUAAUACAAUAGGAACGUCUUUGGAAAAUUGUAUUUUGGCACUGACUUUUUGUGUUACUUCCAUUUGCCUAUUCCUUAUUUCAUGGAUAAAAUAUUAUAUUUAAAAGAUAAAAAUAAUAUAAAUAAAAUUUGAAAGACAAUAAUAAUAUUUAUGAGUGUUAAAUAGGAAUAUAAUAAAAAAACAGUGUCAAAAGUACAAGUUCCAUAAUAAAUAUUUUGGUACAUAUUAAAAUAACCUUAUAUUUUUAACCCUCCAUAAAGUUUAUUUGGUGAAACUACCAAAUGUAAUAUACUUUUAAUUUUAAUAAAAUAUUUUUAUCAUUUUCAUUUUUAAAUCAUAAUAAAUGUAAUACGCAAAUUAAUUACAAUUUAUGAGAAUAAUAAAUAUACAAAAACUUAAAAAAUAAUUAUAUUAUUUUUAAUUUUGAAAAUAAUGGAAAAACCAUAUGCUUGAAAAAGGAAAGGAAGAAGUAAUAAUAGGUUAUUUUUUCUGAUGCCAUACAUCCAAUAUACAGUUUAUUUAAAGAUUCGUAAUUAAUAUCUAAUUAAAAAUUAAAAUAUUAGCUAAGUUAUACUUAAAAAAAAAUCGAAAAAUGAUAUAUAUCGUAAUUACUUUGACUCUCUUAUUUUAAUUUGGUUAGUAAUCAUGUUAAGUUAGUUGAGUCAAGAUAUAACAAUUUCUCCAUCGAUUGACAUAUUUUUAUACACUAUUUAAGCAAAGGAUAAUACUUCAAUACUAUGGAUCAUGUCCUCUAAUCUAUCGUUUAUUGUCUAAUCAACAGAUUUAUGUGUUUCAAACACACUUGGAAUGUCUAAUGAUUCGCCGUUUCACAUUCUUGUUGUAUAACUCUUUAGAAAUCCAUAGCACAAAACAUGUUUUAUAAUUUCGGAAACAUCCAAUCUUCUCCCAUUCAAAAACUCACACAAAGACAUAUCAUCCUUACUCUGUUUUCUAUACCACACCAACAUUACAUUUUGCAAAUUGUAUAAACUCUUCCACCCAGAACUCGCCUAAAUGACUGAAUGUUUCACCGUCCAUGAGGAGACACCUUCGUAACCAAAGAAUGACUCCUUCGUAGGAGUACGGUUAGAAACAAAAUGUUUGUGGCUACCUAUCAAGGAUGCUUGGGAUAAAAAUAACCCAUAAUACCCUAAAACUGGAUAAGCUGCUUCUACUAAUGUCUUUCCUUAAGGACACAUAAUCAAAGAAUCCUAUGCUGGGGAGGUUAACCCCCACACAUCUAGGCCUGAAACCUAGAUGAUGCCAUGCCAUACUAGCCUAUUCUUGGGGCUAUCUAUUUGAAAGAGCUAGAAAUUAAAGGAAGACCUCCUUCCCAUAAUUAGAGUUGAAAGGGGAUUUGAUCCACCCAACAUGUAAAGAAGGCAUGAACAAUAGAUAGGGCAUAUAGGGAAUGGAAUCAACAAUCGAAUAAGUGAUGACUUGACUGAUCUUGAUAUACUCUUUUUUUAGUCUUAGCCUUACUAGCACACCCAAACACAGACCAAGACCAGUCAAAAUCUACCUUCACAUGUCUAACCAAGGCAUAUAAGGGAGGGGUUUACAUAGAAAUAGGAGAAGAGUAAAUAGAUGGAUUAUUCUUGCUCUGAAUCUUGGAUACAACUCUUGUUUUGAAUCGUUCUUAAGACUUUCAUAUAAAUGAGCUCUUUCAAAAUUUUCUUCAUCAAAUGCUAGGUACCAUUUCCUUUAAAUGAUCACCCAUUCAUUCAUCAACAUAAGCUGAACCUCUUAACUUUGUUCGCUUAUAUAAUACUUCACCAUGUCAAGUCCAAACUGUAUAACUUCUCAUUAUUACGUAGAUGAACAGAUGAUCACUGAUAUUGUUUAAGUCUUCAAAUAAUUAAUUAAGACAACGAACACAAUGACAAAAAUAUGUCCCAUUAAGUUGUUUUGUGCGUUCUUUGACAUAUUUUAAGAACUCAAAACCUGCUCUUUCAUACUUUUCACUAAAUAACUUUAUAAACAAUAAAAAGGAAGAAACCACGUCAAAAAAUAAUGCUAACUUACAAAUCCAGAAUACAAAAACACAAACAAAACUAUAAAUGCGAACACAGAUAAAGUAAUACAUUGAACGCAAAUAACAUAAAAUUGACCUCGAAAUGAUGUUAGACUUUGUGAACAAAGAGAUUAAUGGAUGAGGACAAAGGUGAACUCGCUGACAACGAAAAAGCCUCAAGAAAAACGAAAAUCAAUCAAUCAAAACAAAUGAAAAGCAAUGCAAAUGAGAAUAAAAAACUUUCGCAAGACAUAACUGCGUAAAAAAUAACCUAGUUUGUUGAUCGCACUUUUCCUCAAAGAAGAAAGUUCAUGCCAAAAUGAGAGCACAGAGAAACAAUGACAUUGUGUUAUGUUUUUUACAUUUUUUUACAACACAUACGAUGUUGAACGCAGGGUAAAUUCGACAUUAUAUUUAAAUAUAGUGUCAAACUUAUGGCACUUUGACAUCAUAUGACAGUAAAUAUUUAAAUCAGCGUGCCACUAUUUUAUUCUUCUUUUCCUUCUAAACCACCCAUAAAACGUCGAAUGGCAGGGGGUUCGACGUCUUAUUGUUCGAUAGAAGCCAAAGGGUCAUUCUCCCUAUAUCAAAAGGCCUAUAACGUCCAACAGGCCUAGACUUCGAUUUAAUAUCUACCUCGAACCAUUUACUGAACGUUAUGAUUUUUUUUAUUACAAUGCAGUUACGAACACAACACUAGUGUAGAAAGGGCUUUAGACGUCUGUUAUUUUGGGCUUUUAACGUCAGAUCUUGAAACGACAUCUUUAUGGGUGACAUUAAUGGGACGUAGGACAUAUAGAAUCCGACGUCUAUAAAGAUGUCAGUCAUGGCAUCAACCGACGUCUAAGGGCACUAUAAAGACGUUGAACAUGGCCCUAACUGACGUCUAAGGGCACUAUAAAGAUGUCAGACAUGGCACUAACCGGUAUCUAAGGGCAUUAUAGACGUCAGACAUGUCAUUAACCGACGUCUACUAAGCUUUCGUUAUGUUUUAGUGCAGUUUUGCUCAUGUCUUUGGAUAGCCUAGUAGCACCUUCUCCCUUUACUAGUUUCCUCAUAAGAAAAACUUGCGUCUUUUGGAUCUCUUAUUUUAACCCAAAACCGAACCUAGGUCCUUGUCUAGUACCAUUCCAACCACCAAUGAAAAAGAAUAUGGUGACAUGAGAACUAUGUAAGGAUCCAGGUUUGAUUUUGGGUUGAAAUGUCAUAAGAGAUCCAAAAGACGCAGCUUUUCUUACGAGGAAGCUAGCAAAGAGAAAAUAUGCUAAUACAUUAUCCAAAGACCAGUAAUGUUUAUCAACACUCCGCGUUUUUCGCAAUCGCAAAAAAUUCGUUUUCUAAGGAUUAAAAUAACUGGUAAUACUAAAAAUAACUCCUAGAAAAAUUAUGUAUUUUUAUAGUAGUAAAUAAAGAAAAUGAUUAUAUAUAUAUAUAUAUAUAUAUAUAUAUAUAUAUAUAUAUAUAUAUAUAUAUAUAUAUAUAUAUAUAUAAGUGUAAAUAAUAAAACAAGUUGUGAAAAAAUUUAUAUAAAAAUUGAAAGAGAAAAAUUAUGGUAAAAAAAUUAUUAUUUUUAAGUAUAAGCUUUUACUGUUAAAGUAAUUUAUAAUUCUUAUUUAUUAUCUGAAGUAAAUAAUUUUAUUUAUUUUCAAUAUUAACAUAAAUACUUUUACUUAGUAUUGUUUAAGUAGACUUUAUUAACAUCCAACAUUAAAAGAAUUUUAUUAGUACAUAUGCCAAUUUCCAAACACUAACAAAAAUAUUUAUUUAUUAAAAAAAUUAAAAAUAAUUUUAUGUAUAUGAUUUUUUUGAGAAAAUAAAUCUUUUGUAUUGUGUUAGAGUUCACUUAUGCAAUUAUAAUAAUAUUACAAUUUAGACUACUUCAACUUAUUUAAUUUUGGAUAAUGACAUUAAAUACUUGUUCUCUUAAUUCCAUUAAAAGUUAUUGAAAAUGAAUAUGAGAAAGUGAUGUACUUAUUUAUAAUAAAAAAAGAUGAAAAUGAAUGUGAGUAAAGUGAGUAAUAUAAUUUGCUUUUGAACUAAUUGCGUGUAUAGAAACACUGCUAAUCCAUAAAUUACCUAUCAAUUAUUCAAAGUUGUUUAACCAUGUCAAUAUCAAGUAACUGUAGAAAAUUAUUUAUUAUUGUUGCAGAUUGAUCCUAAAAAAGAGGGAAGAUUCUGGACAGAUAAGUGGCUUUUAACUAUACGAGUUUUAAUAUUUCUUAAUGAAACAUGGAAAUUAUUUGGUUAAAUGUGAAAAACAUUUGAAAUAAAUAUUUUUUAUGAUUAAAGUGAACGCUGCUUUCUUAUUCUACGUUUCAAUUAAAUUAUAUUAAAAAUUUCAUUACCUAAUCUUCACUAUUCUUCUUCUUCCAUGGAUAUUCUCUUUCUCUUUCGUCAUCAAAUUUGAGAAGCUUCCCCUUACCAUUUUCUUUCUCCUCCUUCUGUCACCCAACAUAUAUCCCUCUUCCACUUGUUUUAUAUUUGUUUUUCUUUAAAAAAAUAAAAUAUAAAUAAUAUUUUUCUUUAAUCAAUUUAACUUACAUUUUUAAUUUUAAAAAGUUAUAGAAAACAAAAAAAAAAUGAUAAACUUAUAUUAGGUUUAUUUUAAUCUACUUCAAUCUCAAAAAGCAUAUUGAAAUUAUAAUAUCAAAAUCAUACCUUCUUCAUUUUUUAGGGUUCUUCGUACAAAUAAAUUAGUAAUUCACCAUAGUGACGACUCCGUAUAAUCCAACCUAGUGAGUCAUCUUGCUAUCUGCCUUCAAAAUUUGUCACCAUUUUGAAAUCUUAUCCAUUGAGUUUACAAUAUACUAUUUUUCAAUUAAGAUGUUCAAACAUAGUGACUCCUUUUCAAUAUAUAUGCUAAUAAUCUUCAUUUCAAUUGUAUACUGAGUAUGUGUUUGGUUAUUGACUAUCCGGUUUCUGCACUUGUAAUUAAAUAUGAUUUGUAAACAGUAAUAAUAAUAUUAAUCAAACCACACUAUAAAUAGUUCCCGCCCAAGCUCUCCAGCAUAAAAAUUAAUAAAUAAAAUCAAACAUAUGUAACACAUUUUUAUUAUGCUCGUGUUUUCCGUGUGAAGGCUUUCCACGCGCUGUCUAGUACCAUUAGAGUUGAACGUCGUAAUGCACAUCUUUCAUAUAUUUCGCAAGCAGCUUUAACUCUGCUAUAAAUACGCACCAAGAUUUGCUUAUGAACCAUCCAAUUUUUCUCUCAAAGUACUUCACCAUAGCCAAGUUAAACAUAAGCACUUCAACUUUCAAAACCAUGGCUCAAACCCCAUUUCUUCUGUUGUCAAAUAUUCAAGGCUUUUGGCCUUCUUUGGUUGUCAUAAUCACCUGCUUCACCAUUAUGAUCAAAACCCUAAGCUCUAACUUCAUUCAGACUUAUUCUAAGCAACAAAAGCCAAAGCUCCCUCCUGGACCCAAACCAUGGCCUAUAGUUGGCAACCUUCCUGAAAUGCUUGCAAGCAAACCUGCUUAUAAGUGGAUACAUAAUCUCAUGAAACAAAUGAACACUGAUAUUGCUUGUAUCCGCUUAGGAAAUGCCUAUGUCAUCCCAGUCACNUCUCCCACCAUUGCUACCGAGUUCUUGAGAAAACA